GACGAACGCUGGCGGCGUGCUUAACACAUGCAAGUCGAACGGAAAGGCCCUGCUUUUGUGGGGUGCUCGAGUGGCGAACGGGUGAGUAACACGUGAGUAACCUGCCCUUGACUUUGGGAUAACUUCAGGAAACUGGGGCUAAUACCGGAUAGGAGCUCCUGCUGCAUGGUGGGGGUUGGAAAGUUUCGGCGGUUGGGGAUGGACUCGCGGCUUAUCAGCUUGUUGGUGGGGUAGUGGCUUACCAAGGCUUUGACGGGUAGCCGGCCUGAGAGGGUGACCGGCCACAUGGGGACUGAGAUACGGCCCAGACUCCUACGGGAGGCAGCAGUGGGGAAUAUUGCACAAUGGGCGGAAGCCUGAUGCAGCAACGCCGCGUGCGGGAGGACGGCCUUCGGGUUGGAAACCGCUUUCGCCUGUGACGAAGCGUGAGUGACGGGAAUGGGUAAAGAAGCACCGGCUAACUACGU
RNAcentral lists this ribosomal RNA (467 nucleotides) under uncultured bacterium. RNAcentral describes it as "partial 16S ribosomal RNA". It matches the Rfam family "Bacterial small subunit ribosomal RNA", at positions 28 to 506 of the family's 1533-position model. The record is from RNAcentral.